AAGAAUUUUUAUCAAUAUAUUGUAUUUUUAAAUAAUUUUCUUAAAAACUGCUAUUUCUGGAAAGUUUUCAUUUUUUAGAGAAAUAUUGUAGAUUUGGGUUUGUGAUUUAAAAAUUAGGAUAACAAGAAUAUUUGUGGAUAGAUGAAUAUUAUUUAAGAAUUUUUCAUCAAUGUGUUGUAUUUUUAAAUAAAUUUCUUAAAAACUGCUAUUUUUGGAAAGUUUUCAUUUUUUAGAAAAAUAUUGUAGAUUAGGGUUUGUGAUUUAAAAAUUAGGUUAACAAUAAUAUUUGUGGGUAGAUGAAAAUUAUUUAAGAAUUUUUUAUCAAUGUGUUGUAUUUUUAAGUAAUUUUCUUAAAAACUGCUAUUUUUGGAAAGUUUUCAUUUCUUAGAAAAAUAUUUUAGAUUUGGGUUUGUGAUUUAAAAAUUAGGAUAACAAUAAUAUUUGUGGAUAGAUGAAUACUCUUUAAGAAUUUUUCAUCAACACGUUGUAUUUUUAAAUAAUUUUCUUAAAAACUGCUAUUUUUGGAAACUUUUCAUUUUUUAGAGAAAUGUUGUAGAUUUGGUGUUGUGAUUUAAAAAUUAGGAUAACAAGAAUAUUUGUGGAUAGAUGAAUAUUAUUUAAGAAUAUUUCAUCAAUGUGUUGUAUUUCUUAAUAAUUUUCUUAAAAACUGCUAUUUUUGGAAAGUUUUCAUUUUUUAGAGAAAUAUUGUAGAUUUGGGUUUGUGAUUUAAAAAUUAGGAUAACAAUAAUAUUUGUGGAUAGAUGAAUAUUAUUUAAGAAUUUUUCAUCAAUGUGUUGUAUUUUUAAGUAAUUUUUUUAAAAACUGCUAUUUUUGGAAAUUUUUCAUUUUUUAGAAAAAUAUUUUUGAUUUGGGUUUGUGAUUUAAAAAUUAGGAUAACAAUAAUAUUUGUGGAUAGAUGAAUACUUUUUAAGAAUUUUUCAUCAACACGUUGUAUUUUUAAAUAAUUUUUUUAAAAACUGCUAUUUUUGGAAACUUUUCAUUUUUUAGAGAAAUGUUGUAGAUUUGGUGUUGUGAUUUAAAAAUUAGGAUAACAAGAAUAUUUGUGGAUAGAUGAAUAUUAUUUAAGAAUAUUUCAUCAAUGUGUUGUAUUUCUUAAUAAUUUUCUUAAAAACUGCUAUUUUUGGAAAGUUUUCAUUUUUUAGAGAAAUAUUGUAGAUUUGGGUUUGUGAUUUAAAAAUUAGGAUAACAAUAAUAUUUGUGGAUAGAUGAAUAUUUUUUAAGAAUUUUUCAUCAAUGUGUUGUAUUUUUAAGUAAUUUUCUUAAAAACUGAUAUUUUUGGAAAAUUUUCAUUUUAUUGAUAAAUGUUGUAGAUUUGGGUUUGUGGUUUAGAAAUUAGGAUAACAAAAAUAUUUGUGGAUAGAUGAGUAUUAUUUAAGAAUUUUUCAUCAAUGUGUUGUAUUUUAAAUAAUUUUCCUAAAAACUACUAUUUUUGGAAAGUUUUUAUUUUAAAGAGAAAUAUUAUAGAUUUGGGUUUGUGAUUUAAAAAUUAGGAUAACAAAAAUAUUUGUGGAUAGAUGAGUAUUAUUUAAGAAUUUUUCAUCAAUGUGUUGUAUUUUAAAUAAUUUUCCUAAAAACUACUAUUUUUGGAAAGUUUUUAUUUUAAAGAGAAAUAUUAUAGAUUUGGGUUUGUGAUUUAAAAAUUAGGAUAACAAAAAUAUUUGUGGAUAGAUGAGUAUUAUUUAAGAAUUUUUCAUCAAUGUGUUGUAUUUUUAAAUAAUUUUCUUAAAAUUGCUAUUUUUGGAAAGUUUUCAAAUUUAUAAAAUCAUUGUAGAUUUGGAUAACUAGACUAUUUGUGGACAGCUGAAUACACUUGAAGAAUUUUUCAUCAGCAGGUUAUAUUUUUAAAUAAUUUUCUUAGAAACUGCUAUUUGUGGAAAGUUUUCAUUUUUUAGAGAAAUAUUAUAGAUUUGAGUUUGUAAUUUACAAAUUAGGAUAACAAGAAUAUUUGUGGAUAGAUGAGUAUUAUUCAAUAAUUUUUCAUCAAUGUGUUGUAUUUUUAAAUAAAUUUUUAAAAAUUGCUAUUUGUGGAGAAUUUUCAUUUUAUAGAUAAAUAUUGUAGAUUUGAGUUUGUGAUUUUAAAUUUAGGAUAACAAAAGUAUUUUUGGAUAUAUGAGUAUUAUUUAAGAAUUUUUCAUCAAUAGGUUGUAUUUUUAAAAUAAUUUUCUUAAAAACUGCUAUUUUUGGAAAGUUUUCAUUUUUAGAGAAAUAUUGUAGAUUUGGGUUUGUGAUUUAGAAAUUAGGAUAACUAGACUAUUUGUGGACAGCUGAAUACACUUUAAGAAUUUUUCAUCAAUGUGUUGUAUUUUUUAAAUAAUUUUCUUAAAAACUGGUGUUUUUGGAAAGUUUUCAUUUUUUAGAGAAAUAUUAUAGAUUUGGGUUUGUGAUUUAAAAAUUUGGAUAACAAGAAUAUUUGGGAUAGAUGAGUAUUAUUCAAGAAUUUUUCAUCAAUGUGUUGUAUUUUUAAAUAAUUUUCUUAAAAACUGCUAUUUUUGGAAAGUUUUCAUUUUAUAGAUAAAUAUUGUAGAUUUGAGUUUGUGAUUUUAAAUUUAGGAUAACAAGAAUAUUUGUGGAUAUAUGAGUAUUAUUCAAGAAUUUUUCAUCAAUAGGUUGUAUUUUUAAAAUAAUUUUCUUAAAAACUGCUAUUUUGGGAAAGUUUUCAUUUUUAGAGAAAUAUUGUAGAUUUGGGUUUGUGAUUUAGAAAUUAGGAUAACUAGACUAUUUGUGGACAGCUGAAUACACUUUAAGAAUUUUUCAUCAAUGUGUUGUAUUUUUUAAAUAAUUUUCUUAAAAACUGGUGUUUUUGGAAAGUUUUCAUUUUUUAGAGAAAUAUUAUAGAUUUGGGUUUGUGAUUUAAAAAUUUGGAUAACAAGAAUAUUUGGGAUAGAUGAGUAUUAUUCAAGAAUUUUUCAUCAAUGUGUUGUAUUUUUAAAUAAUUUUCUUAAAAACUGCUAUUUUUGGAAAGUUUUCAUUUUAUAGAUAAACAUUGUAGAUUUGGGUUGGUGAUUUAAAAUUUAGGAUAACAAAAAUAUUUGUGGAUAGAUGAGUAUUAUUCAAGAAUUUUUCAUCAAUGUGUUGUAUUUUUAAAUCAUUUUCUUAAAAACUGCUAUUUUGGGAAAGUUUUCAUUUUUAGAGAAAUAUUGUAGAUUUGGGUUUGUGAUUUAGAAAUUAGGAUAACUAGACUAUUUGUGGACAGCUGAAUACACUUUCAGAAUUUUUCAUCAAUAUGUUGUAUUUUUAAAAUAAUUUUCUUAAAAACUGCUAUUUUUGGAAAAUUUUCAUUUUUUAGAGAAAUAAUAUAGAUUUGGGUUUGUGAUUUAAAAAUUAGGAUAACAAGAAUAUUUGUGGAUAGAUGAGUAUUAUUCAAGAAUUUUUCAUCAAUGUGUUGUAUUUUUAAAUAAUUUUCUUAAAAACUGCUAUUAUUGGAAAGUUUUUAUUUUAAAUAGAAAUAUUAUAGAUUUGGGUUUGUGAUUUAAAAAUUAGGAUAACAAAAAUAUUUGUGGAUAGAUGAGUAUUAUUCAAGAAUUUUUCAUCAAUGUGUUGUAUUUUUAAAUAAUUUUCUUAAAAACACCUAUUUUUGGAAAGUUUUCAUUUUUAGAAAAAUAUUGUAGAUUUGAGUUUGUGAUUUAGAAAUUAGGAUAACUAGACUAUUUGUGGACACCUGAAUACACUUUAAGAAUUUUUCAUCAAUAUGUUGUAUUUUAAAAAUAAUUUUCUUAAAAACUCCUAUUUGUGGAAAGUUUUCAUUUUUUAGAGAAAUAAUAUAGAUUUGGGUUUGUGAUUUAAUAAUUAGGAUAACAAGAAUAUUUUGGAUAGAUGAGUAUUAUUCAAGAAUUUUUCAUCAAUGUGUUGUAUUUUUAAAUAAUUUUCUUAAAAACUGCUAUUUUUGGAAAGUUUUCAUUUUUUAGAGCAAUAUUAUAGAUUUGUGUUUGUAAUUUAAAACUUUUGAAACAAGAAUAUUUGUGGAUAGAUGAGUUUUAUUCAAGAAUUUUUCAUCAAUGUGUUGUAUUUUUAAAUAAUUUUCUUAAAAACUGCUAUUUUUAGAAAGUUUUCCUUUUUAGGGAAAUAUUGUAGAUUUGGGUUUGUGAUUUAGAAAUUAGGAUAACUAGAAUAUUUGUGGAUAGAUGAGUAUUAUUCAAGAAUUUUUCAUCAAUGUGUUGUAUUUUAAAAUAAUUUUCUUAAAAACUGCUAUUUUUGGAAAGUUUUCAUUGCUAAUUUUAAGAGAAAUAAUAUAGAUUUGGGUUUGUGAUUUAAAAAUUUGGAUAACAAGAAUAUUUGUAGAUAGAUGAGUAUUAUUCAAGAAAUUUUCAUCAAUGUGUUGUAUUUUUAAAUAAUUUUCUUAAAAACUGCUAUUUUUCGAAAGUUUUCAUUUUAUAGAUAAACAUUGUAGAUUUGGGUUUGUGAUUUAAAAUUUAGGAUAACAAAAAUAUUUGUGGAUAAUUUUAUAGAGAAAUAUUAUAGAUUUGGGUUUGUGAUUUAAGAAUUAGGAUAACAAGAAUAUUUGUGGAUAUAUGAGUAUUCUUUCGGAGUUUUUCAUCAGUCGGUUGUAUUUUUAAAUAUUUUUCUUAAAAACUACUAUUUUUGGAAAGUUUUCAUUUUUUUAGAGAAAUAUUGUAGAUUUGGGUUUGUGAUUUAGAAAUUAGGAUAACUAGACUAUUUGUGGACAGCUGAAUACACUUUAAGAAUUUUUCAUCAAUUUGUUGUAUUUUUAAAAUAAUUUUCUUAAAAACUACUAUUUGUGUAAAGUUUUCAUUUUUUAGAGAAAUAUUACAGAUUUGGGUUUGUGAUUAAAUAAUUAGGAUAACAAGAAUAUUUGUGGAUAGAUGAGUAUUAUUCAAGAAUUUUUCAUCAAUGUGUUGUAUUUUUAAAUAAUUUUCUUAAAAACUGCUAUUUUUGAAAAGUUUUCCUUUUUAGAGAAAUAUUGUAGAUUUGGGUUUGUGAUUUUGAAAUUAGAAUAACAAGAAUAUUUGUGGAUAGAUGAGUAUUAUUCAAGAAUUUUUCAUCAAUGCGUUGUAUUUUUAAAUAAUUUUCUUAAAAACUGCUAUUUUUGGAAAGUUUUCAUUUUAUAGAUAAAUAUUGUAGAUUUGAGUUUGUGAUUUUAAAUUUAGGAUAACAAGAAUAUUUGUGGAUAUAUGAGUAUUAUUCAAGAAUUUUUCAUCAAUAGGUUGUAUUUUUAAAAUAAUUUUCUUAAAAACUGCUAUUUUGGAAAAUUUUCAUUUUUAGAGAAAUAUUGUAGAUUUGGGUUUGUGAUUUAGAAAUUAGGAUAAGUAGACUAUUUGUGGACAGCUGAAUACACUUUAAGAAUUUUUCAUCAAUGUGUUGUAUUUUUAAAAUAAUUUUCUUAAAAACUGCUAUUUUUGGAAAGUUUUCAUUUUUGGAAGAAAUAUUAUAGAUUUGGGUUUGUGAUUUAAAAAUUUGGAUAACAAGAAUAUUUGUGGAUAGAUGAGUAUUAUU
RNAcentral lists this long non-coding RNA (5472 nucleotides) under Brassica napus (rape). Its description in RNAcentral is "long non-coding RNA (BNAP_LNC002067)". Lineage: Eukaryota; Viridiplantae; Streptophyta; Magnoliopsida; Brassicales; Brassicaceae. The record is from RNAcentral.